RNAcentral lists this ribosomal RNA (1419 nucleotides) under uncultured bacterium. RNAcentral describes it as "16S ribosomal RNA". It matches the Rfam family "Bacterial small subunit ribosomal RNA". The record is from RNAcentral.
AGAGUUUGAUCCUGGCUCAGGACGAACGCUGGCGGCGUGCCUAAUACAUGCAAGUCGAACGCUUCUUUUUCCACCGGAGCUUGCUCCACCGGAAAAAGAGGAAUGGCGAACGGGUGAGUAACACGUGGGUAACCUGCCCAUCAGAAGGGGAUAACACUUGGAAACAGGUGCUAAUACCGUAUAACAAUCGAAACCGCAUGGUUUUGAUUUGAAAGGCGCUUUCGGGUGUCGCUGAUGGAUGGACCCGCGGUGCAUUAGCUAGUUGGUGAGGUAACGGCUCACCAAGGCGACGAUGCAUAGCCGACCUGAGAGGGUGAUCGGCCACAUUGGGACUGAGACACGGCCCAAACUCCUACGGGAGGCAGCAGUAGGGAAUCUUCGGCAAUGGACGAAAGUCUGACCGAGCAACGCCGCGUGAGUGAAGAAGGUUUUCGGAUCGUAAAACUCUGUUGUUAGAGAAGAACAAGGAUGAGAGUAACUGUUCAUCCCUUGACGGUAUCUAACCAGAAAGCCACGGCUAACUACGUGCCAGCAGCCGCGGUAAUACGUAGGUGGCAAGCGUUGUCCGGAUUUAUUGGGCGUAAAACGAGCGCAGGCGGUUUCUUAAGUCUGAUGUGAAAGCCCCCGGCUCAACCGGGGAGGGUCAUUGGAAACUGGGAGACUUGAGUGCAGAAGAGGAGAGUGGAAUUCCAUGUGUAGCGGUGAAAUGCGUAGAUAUAUGGAGGAACACCAGUGGCGAAGGCGGCUCUCUGGUCUGUAACUGACGCUGAGGCUCGAAAGCGUGGGGAGCAAACAGGAUUAGAUACCCUGGUAGUCCACGCCGUAAACGAUGAGUGCUAAGUGUUGGAGGGUUUCCGCCCUUCAGUGCUGCAGCUAACGCAUUAAGCACUCCGCCUGGGGAGUACGACCGCAAGGUUGAAACUCAAAGGAAUUGACGGGGGCCCGCACAAGCGGUGGAGCAUGUGGUUUAAUUCGAAGCAACGCGAAGAACCUUACCAGGUCUUGACAUCCUUUGACCACUCUAGAGAUAGAGCUUCCCCUUCGGGGGCAAAGUGACAGGUGGUGCAUGGUUGUCGUCAGCUCGUGUCGUGAGAUGUUGGGUUAAGUCCCGCAACGAGCGCAACCCUUAUUGUUAGUUGCCAUCAUUUAGUUGGGCACUCUAGCAAGACUGCCGGUGACAAACCGGAGGAAGGUGGGGAUGACGUCAAAUCAUCAUGCCCCUUAUGACCUGGGCUACACACGUGCUACAAUGGGAAGUACAACGAGUCGCAAAGUCGCGAGGCUAAGCUAAUCUCUUAAAGCUUCUCUCAGUUCGGAUUGUAGGCUGCAACUCGCCUACAUGAAGCCGGAAUCGCUAGUAAUCGCGGAUCAGCACGCCGCGGUGAAUACGUUCCCGGGCCUUGCACUCACCGCCCGUCA